CAAUAGCGUAUAUUAAAGUUGUUGCGGUUAAAAAGCUCGUAGUUGGAUUUCUGAUCGAGACAUCAGGUCGGGUCCGAGAGGAUCAUGUACUUUGAUUUUGUUUUGAUCAUCCUUGGGGAGAGCAUUUCUGGCAUUCAGUUGUCGGGAUUGGGAUCCUCAUCGUUUACUGUGAAAAAAUUAGAGUGUUCAAAGCAGGCCUCGGCCUCUGAAUACAUUAGCAUGGAAUAAUAAGAUAGGACUUUGGUGGUCUAUUUUGUUGGUUUGCACGCCAAAGUAAUGAUUAAUAGGGAUAGUUGGGGGUAUUCGUAUUCAAUUGUCAGAGGUGAAAUUCUUGGAUUUAUGGAAGACGAACUACUGCGAAAGCAUUUACCAAGGAUGUUUUCAUUAA
RNAcentral lists this ribosomal RNA (388 nucleotides) under uncultured eukaryote. RNAcentral's name for it is "partial 18S ribosomal RNA". It matches the Rfam family "Eukaryotic small subunit ribosomal RNA", at positions 592 to 976 of the family's 1831-position model. The record is from RNAcentral.